GUGGUACUGGGUACAUACCCGAUAGGUCUCGAUUGCUGGAAUGCAUCGAGAUAAAAGCUCCGGCGCCUAAGGAUGGGUCUGCGGCCUAUCAGGUAGUAGUUGGUGUAGCGUACCUACUAGCCUACGACGGGUACGGGUUGUGAGAGCAAGAGCCCGGAGAUGGAUUCUGAGACACGAAUCCAGGCCCUACGGGGUGCAGCAGGCGCGAAAACUUUACAAUGCUGGCAACAGCGAUAAGGGAACCUCGAGUGCCAGGUUACAAAUCUGGCUGUCGAGAUGCCUAAAAAGCAUUUCAUAGCAAGGGCCGGGCAAGACCGGUGCCAGCCGCCGCGGUAACACCGGCGGCUCGAGUGGUAACCGUUAUUAUUGGGUCUAAAGGGUCUGUAUCCGGCCGGAUAAGUCUCUUGAGAAAUCUGGCAGCUUAACUGUCAGGCUUUCAGGAGAUACUGUCUGGCUCGAGGCCGGGAGAGGUGAGAGGUACUUCAGGGGUAGGGGUGAAAUCUUGUAAUCCUUGAAGGACCACCAGUGGCGAAGGCGUCUCACCAGAACGGAAGAGAGGGGCUGGAAGGAAGGGAAGGGGGGCACAACCGGAUUAAAUACCCGGUAAUCCUAACCGAAACGAUACUCUCUAGGUGUCGGCCACGGUGCGACGUUGUCGGUGCGUAGGAAGCCGUGAAGUGAACCCCCUGGGAUGUACGGCCCGAAAGCUGAACUUAAAUGUAUUGGCGGGG
RNAcentral lists this ribosomal RNA (731 nucleotides) under uncultured archaeon. RNAcentral describes it as "bacterial SSU rRNA". It matches the Rfam family "Archaeal small subunit ribosomal RNA", at positions 134 to 873 of the family's 1478-position model. The record is from RNAcentral.